UUUAUUUCAAUUUCAUCCUUUCUUUUCUCCUGUCAAUUCUGUGAAAUUGAAAACCAAAUUUGAAAUUCUCAAAUCCAUUUAACCCUAAAUCUUUCCCCUAUGCUCACAGCGGAGGCGGCUGCUUAGGUACACGAGGGCAUAAAUUUGGUGAUCUCCCGAUGGGCCACUCUUCGAAUGGCCGUCGAGAAUGAGUGGAGCGGUUGUGAUUCUGCCCAGAAAUCCCAACAACUCGCCCCAAGUUAUCUUUCACACCUCAUUCAAUCCAAAGGAAAAGUAUGCAUUGAUGAUUUAGAGAAUAUGCUUAAUGAAUUCAUGCUCUCUCAACACCGAGAUAGGGGAUGGUAGCAUUGAGGAGAUAGUAGAAAAGUUGAUGGUUAUGCAUGAAGAAUGUGUAGAAGGUAAAUUUAACUCAAUUAAAAGCCUUAGACAGGUAACUAUCACUCUCUAGUGAUUGAACAAGUGUUCAUUAUUUGGAUAAAUAUUUUUGCCGUUGAUGAAUCAAGUUUGUUGUUUAUUAAAUAACAACGUUGGAAUGUUUUCUAAGAAGAAAGGAUAAAUAUAUGAGCAUGUUUUCGAAUGUGAUGUAAAUAUUGAUUAUAAAAGUUUGAUCUAUAUCUAGUCAUUAGUCAAAUAUGAUUGGAGAUUAGUUAGAUGACCGUAUAUACAUUUUUAGCCCUUGUUUGGUAGAAAUCAUUUGCUAUCACUUGAAACCAACCCACAAAUAAGGCCAUGCCAAAUUUA
Long non-coding RNA from Olea europaea var. sylvestris, 741 nucleotides. RefSeq lists it as uncharacterized. The transcript is spliced from 3 exons. Lineage: Eukaryota; Viridiplantae; Streptophyta; Magnoliopsida; Lamiales; Oleaceae. The record is from RefSeq and is a predicted model, not a curated record.